GCAGCCGCGGUAAUACGUAGGUGGCAAGCGUUAUCCGGAAUUAUUGGGCGUAAAGAGUGAGCAGGCGGUUAAGGAAGUCUAAGAUGAAAAGCUAUUGCUUAACGAUAGUUUGUUUUAGAAACUCCUUGGCUAGAGUACGGUAGAGGUAAGCGGAAUUCCAUGUGUAGCGGUGAAAUGCGCAGAUAUAUGGAGGAACACCAGUGGCGAAGGCGGCUUACUAGACCGGGACUGACGCUGAGUCACGAAAGCGUGGGUAGCAAAUAGGAUUAGAUACCCC
This 277-nucleotide ribosomal RNA is filed under the name uncultured bacterium. Its description in RNAcentral is "partial 16S ribosomal RNA". It matches the Rfam family "Bacterial small subunit ribosomal RNA", at positions 511 to 788 of the family's 1533-position model. The record is from RNAcentral.